RNAcentral lists this ribosomal RNA (364 nucleotides) under Klebsiella pneumoniae. RNAcentral describes it as "partial 23S ribosomal RNA". It matches the Rfam family "Bacterial large subunit ribosomal RNA", at positions 2579 to 2925 of the family's 2925-position model. Lineage: Bacteria; Pseudomonadati; Pseudomonadota; Gammaproteobacteria; Enterobacterales; Enterobacteriaceae. The record is from RNAcentral.
GUUCGCCAUUUAAAGUGGUACGCGAGCUGGGUUUAGAACGUCGUGAGACAGUUCGGUCCCUAUCUGCCGUGGGCGCUGGAGAAUUGAGGGGGGCUGCUCCUAGUACGAGAGGACCGGAGUGGACGCAUCACUGGUGUUCGGGUUGUCAUGCCAAUGGCACUGCCCGGUAGCUAAAUGCGGAAGAGAUAAGUGCUGAAAGCAUCUAAGCACGAAACUUGCCCCGAGAUGAGUUCUCCCUGAGACUUUAAGUCUCCUGAAGGAACGUUGAAGACGACGACGUUGAUAGGCCGGGUGUGUAAGCGCAGCGAUGCGUUGAGCUAACCGGUACUAAUGAACCGUGAGGCUUAACCUUACAACGCCGAAG